AAUCACUAAGCAGGCUAAGAGGAAUAAAUGCGAAGUGUUUAUACAACCUUCAAAAUCCAACUCAGACUUUAAGAGGAAUAUAGCAAACAUUUUUGCAUGCAGAAAAAAACAACGAACAAGAAGGUGAAAAGAACUCAAAAUAACACAAGGAAUAGACAGAAUUAAACUCAGGAAUGAGGGAUGUGAUAUCACUCCUCAAUUACCUGAAGGUAAUUUCUCCAAUUGGAGAACGUAGUAAGGCUUGUUCUGUAUAGCCCUAAAAAGUGGGAUCUACACAGAGAUAUAUUUUGGCUCAAAAUAAAGAGGAAGCCUCUUACUAUCACAGUAACCUUAAUAUGGAAUGAACCACCUCCAUUUGGAGUGAGUUCCUCAUUCCUGGAGGUGUUGAAAAUGCUGUAGAUGAGUUUCUACUUUGCUCUGAAAGGGUGUCUAUUAAAAAUAAACCUCCUGGUAUUCAUUGUGUACUUACUAUGUUCCAGGCACAUGAUUCUACUUCUCAAUCUGGGUCUACUGAAGGAGACACCAAAUUACCCAACAGAGUAAUCAGCGUAGUGCCAAAAAGGUGUACGGGCAGGGAGAGCACAGCUCCUAACUCAGCAUAGGGGUCAAGUAAAUCUUCCUGCAGGAGGUUUCCUGAGCUUGGCUUCCAAUGAUAAAGAGGAAUCAAGCAAGGAGUCAAGGGCCAGAAAACAGUUGGACUAAAAUUAGUGGCUUUCAGGCUUGCACCAUAGACCCCUAGGAUAUUCACAUGGACUCUUGAGGGGUUCCUGGGGGCAAGACUAUGUGGCUGGAGUUUUAAACAUUUCCUAUACUUCAACCAAAGCAGAUAAUUUUAAUCUAUUAUGUACCUUGGGACUCCACUUAAGAUUUUCAAAUAAGUCGCCUGCAUUUUAAAACAGAUCACAAAAAUAUUAAUUCAGUAAACCAUGUCCCAGAGAUUGUGUCUCCUAACCUGGGUAUGCUUUUUAUAGAUUAUGACUCCAUAUUGGAAGUAUGGAGGUAGUUUACUGAUGGGAAGAGGUCCCAUAGAGCCCCAGACUCAACUAGAGCCUCCUUGUUUCUGCCAUUCGGUCAUGCUGAUGGGUGCUGGCAUAAUGCAGUGAGACCAGAAGAAACUGACUUAACUUCUUCCUCUGAGGAGGAGCCUGUGGCUUUAGAAGGGAAAUAAUAACCACCCAAUAUAACCAAGAUGCUAAGCCAUAACAUGGUUUUCUGAGCCCUCACUCAUCAAGCUGGAAAAGAUGCUUCAGCACCAAGGACAGCGCUCAUAGCCGCGGCCCUGACAGAAGACGCCAACUUCACCUCCUUAAGGCCUGGUCCUGUGUCUCUCGAGGUAUAGGAAUCCUGGUUUUACACUUAGGUUUAUUUUGGUUCUAAUCUCGCUAGAAAAUCAGACUCUGCUGCACUUAAUCAUUUCUCAUUUAAUUUGAGCCAUCUCCUUUGAUUCUGAGGUAUAAUUAGCCUUAAGCAUGCUAAAUAUAAAGGUACACUACUCACCUUCAGCACGUGAUCAAUGAAAGAGAGCUGAGAAAGGGGUCCUAAUCUACAUUCUUUACUAAAUGCAAAGAAAGCAUUCAAUAAGCCACAGUUCGGGAAGUUGAUCUUUUGACGGUAAGAGGGGAGUCUGGGGGAGGGAAUGUUCUCACAGGUCAAGGUGAAAGUCCACAAUAUUGCACUAAAGAGAAAAUGAUAAAUUAUUAAUUGUCAUAAGGAGAUAGUCAUGAGUGAGUGGAAAAUUGGGGUCUUCACCCUGGGUUUCCACGGCACAACAUGAUUGGUCAGAGGCAGGGACACUCUACACCUGGCCCAUCUUGAAGUAAGGUUAGGUCAGAGGCCUGAUCUUUGGCCACCUUCAUUUCCCCAUAUCAUGGCGAGACAGUGUAUAAUAGUAUGAUGGGUGCUUGGAUCUACCCUCAAACGCUUCUCAAUGUAACACCCCUGGCCAGUCACUUUAAUUCUCCAAGCUGCAGUUUUUCAUAAGUAACAUCAAGAUAAUAUCCUCCUUCCCCAGACAAUCAUUGAAGGAUUCAAUGAGAUAAGUUGUAUAAAAGCACCCAGCACAGUGCUGGUGCAUAGUAAGUACCGAGAAAUAUUAGAUGCCGUCCUGUGUUCUUGCAAGGAAUUGAUUCUUUGCUGAGUGAAUUGAUAUGGUUUCUAAGUGGCUUAUUAAUGACUGCCCAGAAAGCAUAAGCCUCUCUCUCCAUCUGCUCAUUUUCCACAAAAGUAGACAGACAGGUUUGUGCCAGGUCCUCAGCCCCAGUUUCAUCUAAACUGGCCUUUGGCAACAUCAGCUCCACAUGCUCCAGUGAAGUCAGAAACAGGUCAGUAAGUUUUGUGUAGGGGUCCUCGAUGGCCUUUCCAAAUUGCAGAUUUCUCAAUUACAAAGGAAAUGAGCCUGAAAAAAUAUCUAUAGCUUAAUCAUUAAAUGUGCUUUUGCUGAAGACCAAAAUCCAUAGCUUUUCCUCGCUUAACUAGAAAGUGAUAGUUAAGCAUUUACAACAUUGACUAUUGGGCUCAGUCUAUUCUGCAACGAUUUGUAUUCAUCACCCACUAUAUGCCAAGUAUGUCUCCUGGAGGCCUCAGGCCUUUGUCUGGUAUAAUACUCCUUGUUCUUAGAGACUCAUCUAAAGUAUCUUCAACUUGUUUAAAGGUGGAACACUUUGGGGAAAAGGUGAGGCAAAGAAUGGAAAGCGGUAAUGUCAUAAUACGAAUGUCAUAACACAUUUUAGAAAACACUGUCCUAGACUCGCUUGCAGAAGUUUGUACCUUACAAUUUAAGAAUCAGAAAGAGGAAGCAAAGCAAUGACAAAGGGCACAAACAUUGUCAAAAAUAUACUGUCCCAAGGAAAGAGGGCAUUUGGGGCCUUGAGGAAUUGGGUAAUACAUCCCAACCAUCCCUACUCUGAUAGAAUAACAAAACAGAGGCCCUUCUGUCCUAGCAGGCUGCAAUCAGAAAACUGGGAUUUUUCUGCCCAUGUGUCUGGUGUUUCACUUGCAUCAGUGCCCCCUGGAAAUGCAAACUGAGAGCACUUGGCCAGUCUCUGUCAGCCACUCAGGAAGCCCAGUUGCCCUACAGCCUCCUCAUCAGGAAAGUGCCUCCUGAGGCAUUUAUAAUACUCUGAGAAGCAUCCCUAAAAUUAUUCAUUGCUGUCCAGAGGUGAUGUUUGAGAUGGGAAACUCAGGCGUGGAAGUCUGGCCAUGGCAUACCUGUAUUUGUCAUUGCCUGCCAUGUAGUCCAUCCUCAUCAUCAGACUCUACUCAUCUACCCUGCUGGUCUCUUGCUCUUUAUGGGCCAAUUGUAUUUGUAUCCUCCAGGCAAAGUCCUACUGUGAAGCAUAUAUGGGCUUAGCUCAUGACCAUAAUUUUUUGUAGAGUAGACCUUAAUUUCUGGCCACCUCAGAGCUUUGGCACCCUUUAAACAGAUCUCUCCUGGAUCAAGGGCUGAUCUUUGAUCCAAUUAGCAACCACUCUGGUUCUGUGAGCCAGGGGUUAGGGCAGAGGACCACUAGCUAGAGGCUUCUGGCCAUGCAGACACCAAGAAGGACAUGUUCAAGACAAAUCCCCUCUGGUAGCAUUUGCUGGGUAGACUGAUAGGAAUAAUGUUGGCAAAAUUACUGCAUGAGUCUUUCACAGAAAUGCAGAAUGGAGCGUCCACAUGACACCCUUCUGUCUCAGAGCCCUAUAUUGUGUUCACACACACAGAGUAGAGCUUAAGUGCGUGGAUUUUAGAAUAGACUGUUUAUUUCUCUGCACUAAUAUUUGUUCCAUGUACAACCUAGAGCAAGUUACUUAACCUCUCUGUGACUCAAUCUUCUCAUCUUCAAAAUGGAAGUAAAAAUUAAAUCAAUUAAAUUUGUUAACUAUUUGCAAAACACUUAGAACUGUGCCAGGCACUUAAUAAAAUAGCUAUCAUUACUCUCUUAGAAAACAUACAUGGAGAAUCUCUGGUGUGUCCUCUGCCCACCCAGGACUCAAACCAAACGUAGGAGGUGUUAAGUGCUUGGAAACCACUUCGUUAAAAGAACCAAAUUCAGAAAGGCAAGUGUUAGCCUGCAGACACUGUGCCAUAUUUGAUGAGGCUUGUGGGUGUACCAAGGCCAGAGGACUUAGCUCGGAAAGGAUGAGUCAUCCAUGGUGGAUGAGACAUGAAGAGCAAAUUAUCAUCCUCAGCCCAGAUCCAGUUGAACUGCCAGAAGCAGCAAGUAAUUCUUGGCUUAUCCCAAGCAGUAAUAUAGAGUAAUCAUAUGUCCAUUUGGCUCUAUCUCCAAAUAGAUCUUUUGACCACUUUUAUGUUUCUGCACAGCCCCCUCCCUGGUCCCAUCCUUCAUCCUCUUUGAUCUGGGCUAUUAUCUCUGUCUUCUCACUCAUUCAUAUUUCCUCCACAGGUCCUCCACAUGCGGUACCAGAGUGACACUUAUUUAAGACAUUUAAAUAAGAUCAGGUUCCUCCCUCACCCUCCAAGGUGCGGUCACCAGGUCCUUGUCCACAGUUUAGUACUUCUCUCUCCUGCCUUUUUCCCAGACUUCCUGCCCUUGGGUGAACCAGCUGCCAUAUUAUUAGGACUCUCAAGCAGCCCUAUGGAGAUGCACAGAAGAAACUGAGGCCUCCUGCCAACAGCCAUGUGAGUAAGCCAGCUUGAAAGCAGAUCCUCCAGCCCCAGUCAAGACUUCAGAUGACUGCAGUCCCAGCUGACAGCAUGACUGCAACUCAUGAGAGGAUCCAAGCCAGAACUAACUAAGCUGCUCCCAAAUUUCUGACCCAUAGAAACUGUAUGAGAUAAUAAAUGUUCACUGUUGC
RNAcentral lists this long non-coding RNA (4797 nucleotides) under Homo sapiens (human). Its description in RNAcentral is "HSALNT0061250". The record is from RNAcentral. Lineage: Eukaryota; Metazoa; Chordata; Mammalia; Primates; Hominidae.